This 253-nucleotide ribosomal RNA is filed under the name uncultured bacterium. Its description in RNAcentral is "partial 16S ribosomal RNA". It matches the Rfam family "Bacterial small subunit ribosomal RNA", at positions 524 to 776 of the family's 1533-position model. The record is from RNAcentral.
UACGUAGGGGGCAAGCGUUGUCCGGAUUUAUUGGGCGUAAAGAGCGUGUAGGCGGCCAUACAGGUCAGCUGUGAAAACUCGAGGCUCAACCUCGAGACGUCGGUUGAAACCGUAUGGCUAGAGUCCGGAAGAGGAGAGUGGAAUUCCCGGUGUAGCGGUGAAAUGCGCAGAUAUCGGGAGGAACACCGGUGGCGAAGGCGGUUCUCUGGGCCUUACCUGACGCUGAGGAGCGAAAGCGUGGGGAGCGAACAGG